ACGACUCUCGGCAACGGAUAUCUCGGCUCACGCAUCGAUGAAGAACGUAGCAAAAUGCGAUACUUGGUGUGAAUUGCAGAAUCCCGUGAACCAUCGAGUUUUUGAACGCAAGUUGCGCCCGAAGCCAUUCGGCCGAGGGCACGU
This 144-nucleotide ribosomal RNA is filed under the name Centaurea calcitrapa. RNAcentral's name for it is "5.8S ribosomal RNA". It matches the Rfam family "5.8S ribosomal RNA". Rfam says of the family: 5.8S ribosomal RNA (5.8S rRNA) is a component of the large subunit of the eukaryotic ribosome. It is transcribed by RNA polymerase I as part of the 45S precursor that also contains 18S and 28S rRNA. Lineage: Eukaryota; Viridiplantae; Streptophyta; Magnoliopsida; Asterales; Asteraceae. The record is from RNAcentral.